RNAcentral lists this non-coding RNA (311 nucleotides) under Dorea sp. RNAcentral's name for it is "T-box sequence". It matches the Rfam family "T-box leader". Rfam says of the family: Uncharged tRNA acts as the effector for transcription antitermination of genes in the T-box leader family. T-boxes are found upstream of many aminoacyl-tRNA synthetase genes and some amino acid biosynthetic genes usually in Gram-positive bacteria. Lineage: Bacteria; Bacillati; Bacillota; Clostridia; Lachnospirales; Lachnospiraceae. The record is from RNAcentral.
AUAAAAGCUUUGACCGUGUAAGUAGAGUGUUGCCUUCCCAUAGAGAGAGGAGAUCGCUGGCUGAAAGUUUCCUUGGGUUCAGACGAUACUUGAAUUUCCCACGUGAGCCGUAUCUUUGAAGUCUUGGCAGACGACUGGAAAGUAAACCGUGAUCGGAAGGAUUUACGCCGGAAUCGUGUUUGGCAGGAUGGUAGGAGAUAACGUCAGAUGCACGUUACGCAUGAAUGAGUGCCCGUAUGGAAGCAUCCGGUAUCCGGAUGGCAGGAAUGCGGGAAUCAGGGUGGUAUCACGGGUAGUUGCUCGUCCCUUUU